CCCCUACGUCAGGGGGGCUCCGACAAGGAGCUGAGAGGCUGAUGGCGCGGGCCCGCCCGCGCAGCGCAGCGACCCUUUGAACCUGACCCAGUUAAUGCUGGCGUAGGAAGACAAGGGAUCGCGGCA
RNAcentral lists this non-coding RNA (126 nucleotides) under Brevirhabdus pacifica. RNAcentral describes it as "Xuhuaishuia manganoxidans TPP sequence". It matches the Rfam family "TPP riboswitch aptamer (THI element)". Rfam says of the family: Vitamin B(1) in its active form thiamin pyrophosphate (TPP) is an essential coenzyme that is synthesised by coupling of pyrimidine and thiazole moieties in bacteria. The previously detected thiamin-regulatory element, thi box was extended, resulting in a new, highly conserved RNA secondary structure, the THI element, which is widely distributed in eubacteria and also occurs in some archaea. Analysis of operon structures identified a large number of new candidate thiamin-regulated genes, mostly transporters, in various prokaryotic organisms. The record is from RNAcentral. Lineage: Bacteria; Pseudomonadati; Pseudomonadota; Alphaproteobacteria; Rhodobacterales; Paracoccaceae.